RNAcentral lists this unclassified non-coding RNA (323 nucleotides) under uncultured fungus. Its description in RNAcentral is "sequence contains ITS2". The record is from RNAcentral. Lineage: Eukaryota; Fungi.
AACGCACAUUGCGCCUUCUGGUAUUCCGGUAGGCAUAUCUGUUUGAGCGUCAGCAAACAAUAACAAAUAUCGGUAGGUCCUCACGGGCCGGCUCCGGUUAUGGGUCGGGGGCGACCGGCCGAUAGCGGCAUGUCCCUUCACCUUAAUACUUGCAGUCCGAUCGCGAAGCCCCUUCCUGCUCGGUUUACGGAGUGGUGUAAACGUGAAAACGUAUAUUCCGUCCCGAAUCGGAGAAACGGCCCGCGCGACGUUAAACGUUCGGCUGCCGCCCCUGGCAACCGCUGUUUGACCUCAAAUCAGAUAAGGAUACCCGCUGAACUUAA